RNAcentral lists this non-coding RNA (25 nucleotides) under Cricetulus griseus (Chinese hamster). The record is from RNAcentral. Lineage: Eukaryota; Metazoa; Chordata; Mammalia; Rodentia; Cricetidae.
GUAGAUGUGUUAGACCAAAUGGGGA